GUGUAUUGAUGAUACACUUGUUAUUUUACGACAUAAUUUCCUUGAUGAACAAAAACAUCGAGCUUUUUAAUACUGACACUUC
Non-coding RNA from Oxytricha trifallax, 82 nucleotides. The record is from Rfam. NCBI's taxonomy places the organism in Eukaryota, Ciliophora, Spirotrichea, Sporadotrichida, Oxytrichidae.